This 636-nucleotide ribosomal RNA is filed under the name Aspergillus carbonarius. RNAcentral describes it as "partial 28S ribosomal RNA". It matches the Rfam family "Eukaryotic large subunit ribosomal RNA", at positions 1 to 651 of the family's 3401-position model. Lineage: Eukaryota; Fungi; Ascomycota; Eurotiomycetes; Eurotiales; Aspergillaceae. The record is from RNAcentral.
UUGACCUCGGAUCAGGUAGGGAUACCCGCUGAACUUAAGCAUAUCAAUAAGCGGAGGAAAAGAAACCAACCGGGAUUGCCUCAGUAACGGCGAGUGAAGCGGCAAGAGCUCAAAUUUGAAAGCUGGCUCCUUCGGAGUCCGCAUUGUAAUUUGCAGAGGAUGCUUUGGGUGCGGCCCCCGUCUAAGUGCCCUGGAACGGGCCGUCAGAGAGGGUGAGAAUCCCGUCUUGGGCGGGGUGUCCGUGCCCGUGUAAAGCUCCUUCGACGAGUCGAGUUGUUUGGGAAUGCAGCUCUAAAUGGGUGGUAAAUUUCAUCUAAAGCUAAAUACUGGCCGGAGACCGAUAGCGCACAAGUAGAGUGAUCGAAAGAUGAAAAGCACUUUGAAAAGAGAGUUAAACAGCACGUGAAAUUGUUGAAAGGGAAGCGCUUGCAACCAGACUCGCCCGCGGGGUUCAGCCGGCAUUCGUGCCGGUGUACUUCCCCGUGGGCGGGCCAGCGUCGGUUUGGGCGGCCGGUCAAAGGCCCCUGGAAUGUAGUGCCCUCCGGGGCACCUUAUAGCCAGGGGUGCAAUGCGGCCAGCCUAGACCGAGGAACGCGCUUCGGCUCGGACGCUGGCAUAAUGGUUGUAAACGACCCG